Molecule: ribosomal RNA, 471 nt
Filed under: uncultured bacterium
Lineage: Bacteria
Description: bacterial SSU rRNA
Rfam family: Bacterial small subunit ribosomal RNA
Source: RNAcentral
GAUGAACGCUAGCGGCAGGCUUAACACAUGCAAGUCGUGGGGGCAGCAUAAGGGUAGCAAUACUCUGGUGGCGACCGGCAAACGGGUGCGGAACACGUACGCAACCUUCCUCAAAGCGGGGGAUAGCCUCUCGAAAGAGAGAUUAAUACCCCAUAGUAUCUUGAAACUGCAUGGUUUUAAGAUUAAAGCUCCGGCACUUUGAGAGGGGCUUGCGGCUGAUUAGCUAGUUGGUGGGGGUAAAAGCCUCCCAAGGCCACGAUCAGUAGCUGGUCUGAGAGGAUGAUCAGCCACACUGGGACUGAGACACGGCCCAGACUCCUACGGGAGGCAGCAGUGGGGAAUUUUCCGCAAUGGGCGAAAGCCUGACGGAGCAAUACCGCGUGAGGGAAGACUGCCUAUGGGUUGUAAACCUCUUUUUCAGGGAGGAAUAAAUGACGUGUACCUGAAGAAUAAGCAUCGGCUAACUCCGUG